This 1016-nucleotide ribosomal RNA is filed under the name uncultured bacterium. RNAcentral's name for it is "bacterial SSU rRNA". It matches the Rfam family "Bacterial small subunit ribosomal RNA", at positions 357 to 1376 of the family's 1533-position model. The record is from RNAcentral.
AGGAAUAUUGGUCAAUGGGCGAGAGCCUGAACCAGCCAAGUAGCGUGAAGGAUGACUGCCCUAUGGGUUGUAAACUUCUUUUAUAAAGGAAUAAAGUCGGGUAUGGAUACCCGUUUGCAUGUACUUUAUGAAUAAGGAUCGGCUAACUCCGUGCCAGCAGCCGCGGUAAUACGGAGGAUCCGAGCGUUAUCCGGAUUUAUUGGGUUUAAAGGGAGCGUAGGCGGAUUGUUAAGUCAGUUGUGAAAGUUUGCGGCUCAACCGUAAAAUUGCAGUUGAUACUGGCAGUCUUGAGUGCAGUAGAGGUGGGCGGAAUUCGUGGUGUAGCGGUGAAAUGCUUAAAUAUCACGAAGAACCCCGAUUGCGAAGGCAGCCUGCUAAACCGCCACUGACGUUGAGGCUCGAAAGUGUGGGUAUCAAACAGGAUUAGAUACCCUGGUAGUCCACACGGUAAACGAUGGAUACUCGCUGUUGGCGAUAGACUGUCAGCGGCUUAGCGAAAGCGUUAAGUAUCCCACCUGGGGAGUACGCCGGCAACGGUGAAACUCAAAGGAAUUGACGGGGGCCCGCACAAGCGGAGGAACAUGUGGUUUAAUUCGAUGAUACGCGAGGAACCUUACCCGGGCUUGAAUUGCAGACGAAUUGCUUGGAAACAGGCAAGCCGCAAGGCGUCUGUGAAGGUGCUGCAUGGUUGUCGUCAGCUCGUGCCGUGAGGUGUCGGCUUAAGUGCCAUAACGAGCGCAACCCUUGUUGUCAGUUACUAACAGGUUCCGCUGAGGACUCUGACAAGACUGCCAUCGUAAGAUGUGAGGAAGGUGGGGAUGACGUCAAAUCAGCACGGCCCUUACGUCCGGGGCUACACACGUGUUACAAUGGGGGGUACAGAGGGCCGCUACCACGCGAGUGGAUGCCAAUCCCCAAAACCUCUCUCAGUUCGGACUGGAGUCUGCAACCCGACUCCACGAAGCUGGAUUCGCUAGUAAUCGCGCAUCAGCCACGGCGCGGUGAAUACGUUCCCG